CUGGCGGCGUGCUUAACACAUGCAAGUCGAGCGGAAAGGCCUCUUCGGGGGUACUCGAGCGGCGAACGGGUGAGUAACACGUGAGUAACCUGUCCUUGGCUUUGGGAUAACCCUCGGAAACGGGGGCUAAUACCGGAUAUGACCUUGUCCUGCAUGGGGUGGGGUGGAAAGUUUUUUCGKCUAGGGGUGGGCUCGCGGCCUAUCAGCUUGUUGGUGGGGUGAUGGCCUACCAAGGCGACGACGGGUAGCCGGCCUGAGAGGGCGACCGGCCACACUGGGACUGAGACACGGCCCAGACUCYUACGGGAGGCAGCAGUGGGGAAUAUUGCACAAUGGGCGGAAGCCUGAUGCAGCGACGCCGCGUGAGGGAUGACGGCCUUCGGGUUGUAAACCUCUUUCAGCAGGGACGAAGCGUGAUUGAC
Molecule: ribosomal RNA, 422 nt
Filed under: bacterium Ellin6096
Lineage: Bacteria; Bacillati; Actinomycetota; Actinomycetes; Micromonosporales; Micromonosporaceae
Description: bacterial SSU rRNA
Rfam family: Bacterial small subunit ribosomal RNA
Source: RNAcentral